This 460-nucleotide ribosomal RNA is filed under the name uncultured bacterium. RNAcentral's name for it is "partial 16S ribosomal RNA". It matches the Rfam family "Bacterial small subunit ribosomal RNA", at positions 338 to 795 of the family's 1533-position model. The record is from RNAcentral.
CCUACGGGGGGCUGCAGUGAGGAAUAUUGGUCAAUGGACGAGAGUCUGAACCAGCCAAGUAGCGUGAAGGAUGACUGCCCUAUGGGUUGUAAACUUCUUUUAUCAAGGAAUAAAACGAGGCACGUGUGCCUUUUUGCAUGUACUUUAUGAAUAAGGAUCGGCUAACUCCGUGCCAGCAGCCGCGGUAAUACGGAGGAUCCGAGCAUGAUCCGGAUUUAUUGGGUGUAAAGGGAGCGUAGAGGGGUUGUUAAGUCCGUUGGGAAAGUUUGCGGCUCAACCGUAAAAUUGCAAUUGAUACUGGCAGUCUUGAGUACAGUUGAGGUAGGCGGAAUUCGUGGUGUAGCGGUGAAAUGCUUAGAUAUCACGAAGAACCCCGAUUGCGAAGGCAGCUUACUAAACUGCGACUGACAUUGAUGCUCGAAAGUGUGGGUAUCAAACAGGAUUAGAUACCCGUGUAGUC